ACCUACUGUAAGACAACAUCUCCAAGAUGCUAUUGACCACAAGACUAGUACAAUGUCCAUCCCAGGGUUAUUAGGCACAUGACUUGCAGGACGUGUGAGGACUUCAGAUUAUACCAGUACUCAAAAGACCUUAGAUGAUGGCAACUAUAGAUGGACAUACAAACUACCGCCACUGCAAAAAAGAUUCUAAUUUGAAAGAAGUUUAUAAUGCAUGUUCGCUACUCCCAAUUCAGAAGACU
Carassius auratus (goldfish) is the source of this 239-nucleotide long non-coding RNA. RefSeq lists it as uncharacterized. The transcript is spliced from 3 exons. The record is from RefSeq and is a predicted model, not a curated record. NCBI's taxonomy places the organism in Eukaryota, Metazoa, Chordata, Actinopteri, Cypriniformes, Cyprinidae.